RNAcentral lists this long non-coding RNA (770 nucleotides) under Gallus gallus (chicken). Its description in RNAcentral is "lncRNA (ENSGALG00010018575.1)". Lineage: Eukaryota; Metazoa; Chordata; Aves; Galliformes; Phasianidae. The record is from RNAcentral.
GGGACCCAAAGGCCUGGCCAUGCUGGGGAUGCGGUGGGGCUGCUUUGAGGCCUGCUCAAGCUGGGGACACCCCAAAGCCUGACUGUGGUGGGGACACCUCACGGCCUGACAUGGGGACACCCCACGGCCUGCCCAGGAUGGGGAGGCCCAAAAGCCUGGCCGUGGUGGAGAUGUGGUGGGGCUACCUGAGGGUCUAGAUGUGUUAGGGUCAUUCUGUGGCCUGCCCAGCUGGGGACACUGUGGGGACACCCAAAGGCCUGCCCAGAUUGGGGAUGUGGUGGGGCCAACCCGGGCCCUGGGUGCGUUAGGGCUGCUCUGUGUCCUGCCAGGGCUGGGGACAGCCCAAGGCCUGACCUGGGGACAGCCCAAGGCCUGACCUGGGGACAGCCCAGGGCCUGCCCAGGAUGGGGGGACCCAAAGGCCUGGCUGUGCUGGGGAUGCGGUGGGGCUGCUUUGAGGCCUGCUCAAGCUGGGGACACCCCAAGGCCUGACUGUGGUGGGGACACCUCACGUCCUGACAUGGGGACACCCCACGGCCUGCCCAGGAUGGGGGGACCCAAAAGCCUGGCCGUGGUGGAGAUGUGGUGGGGCUACCUGAGGGUCUAGAUGUGUUAGGGUCAUUCUGUGGCCUGCCCAGCUGGGGACACUGUGGGGACACCCAAAGGCCUGCCCAGGCUGGGGAUGUGGUGGGGCCAACCCGGGCCCUGGGUGCAUUAGGGCUGCUCUGUGUCCUGCCAGGGCUGGGGACAGCCCAAGGCCUGACCUGGGGA